Molecule: long non-coding RNA, 833 nt
Filed under: Monodelphis domestica (gray short-tailed opossum)
Lineage: Eukaryota; Metazoa; Chordata; Mammalia; Didelphimorphia; Didelphidae
Description: lncRNA (ENSMODG00000035583.2)
Source: RNAcentral
GAACCUGGGUAGAUAUGCCCUAUUCUCACCGGGGUGCACUGGAACUAGGCAUUGUUAUUGACUCGGAGACUUGAAGUAGAGGGAGUCGUGAGCUCCAGAGUGUGUGCGUGUGUGUGUGUGUGUAUGUGUGUGUGUGUGUGUGUGUGUGCGCGCGCGCGUGUGUGCGCGCCCCCGUGCGCGCGUGGGUGCAUAUAUGUGGUGUAGGGGAGGCAUUUUCCAGCUACUGGCCCCCAACUGCUCCUCCACCCGCUUCGGGCGCAGAGCGCUGCGCUCUUGGCGGAGGGGCCAGGGGUCGGCUGCGCAUGCAGUUGGCUUCAGAAAAGCACAGGGGGGUUGGUGGGUGGGUUGGCUGGCUGGCGCUCUGCAGUGCAGUGGAGUGUUAGCCCAGGCUCCCUAUAUGGUCGAAGAUUAGCUCGGUGCUGCUGAGGCUGAGCCAGGAAGAGGAGGGAGGAAGAGGAGGAGGAGGAGGAGGAGGAGGAGGAGGAGGAGGAGGAGGUAGCGAAGGAAGAGAAGGAAGGUGGGGAGGUAGGGAAGGAGAGAAGAGCAGGAGCGCACAUCGAGCUGCUGCCUGGGGAAGCAAAAGCGCUGGAGGCUGGGGCAUCACCAGCGCCUUGGGAACCAUGGCCGAAGCAGGAGAAGGAGGAGAGGAUGAGAUCCAGUUCCUGCGGACUAUGUGGAAACUGAGGUUCAACUGGGCCUUUGAUACUUUAGCCAUGAUCAGUGUUUUCUGGAGGGGACCUGUGCUUAAUACAUCAGAUCCUCUCAAAGAUAUCUUUCAGCAAGAUCUGGAUAAGGGCAAUGCUAAUGUGCCAGGGGAGCAGCACCAAUGCUGA